CUCAAGCUACCACUUACUGUUGAUUGUGAUGAAAUGCCAGCUGAGGCACACGCCUUGGGAGCUAAGUGGUUGCUGCCCUUGACUACUAUGAAGACUGGUGUGGGAAGGGUCGCUUUGGAUGCACUUGAGCAGGGGUCCCCAACCCCUGAGCCAUGGAGCCGUAAGGAGCCACACAGCAGGUGAGUGGUGUCGAGUGAGGGAGUGAGGGAAGCUUCGUCUGUAUUUACAGCCACUCCCCUUUGCUCACAUUCCCGCCUGAGCUCCACCUUCUCAGAUGAGCAGCAGCAUUAGAUUCUCAUAGGAGAACGCACCCUGUUGUGAACCGUGCAUGUGAGGGAUCUAGGUUGCGCUGUGCUUAUGAGAAUCUAAUACCUAUUGAUCUGUCACUUUCCCCCAUCACGCUCAGGUGGGACCAUCCAGUUUCAGGAAAACAAGCUUAACACGCCCACUGAUUCUACAUUAUGCUCCUACCUCCCGGCAGCCUCGCCAGGCCCAGAACUCUCUCCAGUCAGCCUCUACAGACCAAGCUCAUGACUCACAAUGGCCUAUUUAGGCCCAUACCCUACCUCACGGCAGUCUCCUCAGAGGAGCCUACUGCCUCACAACAGCCUCCACAGGCACAGCUCCAUCGUUACAAUGGCCUCUUUAGACCCAGCUCCUGCCUCCCAGCCUUCUCUCCAGGCCCUGAACUUUCUCCGUGGGACCAUCCAGUUUCAGGAAAACAAGCUUAACACGCCCACUGAUUCUACAUUAUGCUCCUACCUCCCGGCAGCCUCGCCAGGCCCAGAACUCUCUCCAGUCAGCCUCUACAGACCAAGCUCAUGACUCACAAUGGCCUAUUUAGGCCCAUACCCUACCUCACGGCAGUCUCCGCAGAUGAGCCUACUGCCUCACAACAGCCUCCACAGGCACAGCUCCGUCGUUACAAUGGCCUCUUUAGACCCAGCUCCUGCCUCCCAGCCUUCUCUCCAGGCCCUGAACUUCCUCCGUGGGACCAUCCAGUUUCAGGAAAACAAGCUUAACACGCCCACUGAUUCUACAUUAUGAUUCUUCAGGCCCAGCAUCUGCCUCACUGUGGACCCCCCAAGCCAAGCUCCCAACCUUUCAGCAGCUUCUACACACCCAGCUCCCGCCUGCCAGUGGCCUCUUCAGGCCCAUGGGGCUCAUUCCUCACAACAGCCUUUCCAGUCCCAGUUUUUCCCUUCCGGCGGCCUCUCCGGGCUGAGAACCUCCUCAAGUCGGCCUCUCCAGACUCACUUGCACCCUCCAGGCGUCCUCUCCGGGCCAAGCUCCUCUUCCUGGCUGAGUCUCCAGGCCUGACUCCUGCCUCUCAACAACCUCUUUGGACUCAGUGCCUACCCAUCUCCUGGCGUCCUUGGUCGGCCCACAGCUUCCUCAAGCCAAGCUCCCCAGGCCCAGGUCAGGCCUCACGGUGCCCCCUCCACGAUGAGCUCCUGCCCUCCAAUGGCACCUGCAGGACCCAAAUGGUCUCCGGUCGGUGGGCUCCUCCACGCCAAGUUUGGGCCUCCCGGUGACCUCUGCAGGCCCAAGUUGUCCUGAAGUCGGCAUCUCCCAGCCAUGCCUCCCAGCAAGUAAGCAAGCUCUUUUGGCUCAACUCCUGCCCAGCUCCCAACCGCCUUUGUAGGUCCCGAACUUUCUCCAGCCAAGUUCUUUGGGCCUCAUUCCUGCCGCCCGGUGGCCUGUACGGGCCCAGCAAUGGUUGGAGAACGGCCUCUGCAGGUCCCGCUCUUGCCUCCCAGGGGCCUCUCCAGGCCCAGCUCUUGCCCCCACGGCGGCCACCUGGGGCCAAGUCCCUGCCUGCCUCCCAGCAGCCCGCAUGCGGCCCAGCUCCUCCCUCACGGUGGCCUGUUGAUGCCCAUGCCUCUGGUACCCUGCCCAGAGGCAUGAGCCCCUGCCACACACUGGCUCCUCCCAUGCUGAGAGAGGUCAGCGUGAGCCCUUGCCUCACACCGGCCCCUCCCAUCCUGAGAGAGGUCAGCGUGAGCCCCUUGACUCACACUGGCUCCUCCCACGCUGAGAGAGGUCAGCGUGAGCCCUUGCCUCACACCGGCCCCUCCCAUGCUGAGAGAGGUCGGCGUGAGCCCUUGACUCACACCGGCCCCUCCCACGGUGAGAGAGGUCAGCGUCAGCCCCUUGCCUCACACCGGCCCCUCCCACGCUGAGAGAGGUCGGCGUGAGUCCUUGCCUCACACCGGCCCCUCCCACAGUGAGAGAGGUCAGCGUCAGCCCCUUGCCUCACACCGGCCCCUCCCACGCUGAGAGAGGUCAGCGUCAGCCCCUUGCCUCACACCGGCCCCUCCCACGGUGAGAGAGGUCAACAUGAGCCCCUUGCCUCACACCGGCCCCUCCCACGCUGAGAGAGGUCGGCGUCAGCCCCUUGCCUCACACCGGCCCCUCCCACGCUGAGAGAGGUUGGCGUGAGCCCCUUGCCUCACACCGGCCCCUCCCACGCUGAGAGAGGUCGGCGUCAGCCCCUUGCCUCACACCGGCCCCUCCCACGCUGAGAGAGGUUGGCGUGAGCCCCUUGCCUCACACCGGCCCCUCCCACGCUGAGAGAGGUCGGCGUCAGCCCCUUGCCUCACACCGGCCCCUCCCACGCUGAGAGAGGUUGGCGUGAGCCCCUUGCCUCACACCGGCCCCUCCCACGCUGAGAGAGGUCAACAUGAGCCCCUUGCCUCACACCGGCCCCUCCCACGCUG
This is a long non-coding RNA of Gorilla gorilla gorilla (western lowland gorilla), 2720 nucleotides long. RefSeq lists it as uncharacterized. The record is from RefSeq and is a predicted model, not a curated record. The transcript is spliced from 6 exons. Lineage: Eukaryota; Metazoa; Chordata; Mammalia; Primates; Hominidae.